RNAcentral lists this long non-coding RNA (862 nucleotides) under Homo sapiens (human). Its description in RNAcentral is "HSALNT0290374". The record is from RNAcentral. Lineage: Eukaryota; Metazoa; Chordata; Mammalia; Primates; Hominidae.
UCAACAUGACCCCUGAACGAGGUAUUAUUAAUCAUCUCCAGCAUUCCACGUAUCCAUGCUGCAUGCUAAACCAUUCUAGAACAUAUAGAAAUACAUUCCAAAAUGUCCACUAAGGAAACUUUCCUUGAAUUUGAAGCUGACAACUUCCCACGGUCACAAAUGCCCCUAAUGCCUUCCAUUACUCCUUGCUGGGCUGGAGCCCUGCUUGGGAUCAUUUCAGGAGUAACAAGCACCAGGAGCCCAAGGAAGCCUCGGUGUACCCCAUGGGUACAUGGUGCCUGCUCUGGAACAGGGCCAGCUUCCUUUGUAGCUAAGUGCAGCCACGUUCUGGCCAAUGGAAAACGACUGGUGGAGCUGGGUAAACUUACAGAUCACAUCAUUUAAAGAAACUGCCUCUACCUCCCCUCUCCCCUGCUGUGGGCUGCAAAGGGAAUGGAGAGUCAGCUUCGGCCCUGAAGCAACACCCCAGCGUGAGGCACAGCAACAAAGCAGAAGGAAUCUGGGUCUCUGGACAACCUCAUGGGGCAGAGCUACCCUGGACCACCUCCUCUGGACUCUCACAGAAGAGAAAAACACCCUUGUAGCUUGUUUACUGCCUUCCAGGACUUCUGUUCCAGCACCUUCACCUAUACCCCGACUAGUACGCUCUUCAACCUUUGCAGUCACUUUGCACAACAGGGCUGGCCUCUCUUCCUUGCAAUAAAGACCCCUGCCCAACAGAAUUGCCAGGAGCCAAGUGUGGAGGGGGACAGCACAGACCAUGUCCAAAGAUGACACCAGGGGUCCAACAGAACCAUUUGUGAGCCCUGGAGCUAGACCUGGGGGCAAAGCUUGCUAGGCCAGGAGCUGGCAGGCAUUGGAA